AGCUUUAGGUAAAGAUCUAAAGUUAUACCUGCCCAAUGUGAAAGAAUUAAUGGCCGCGGUACUUUGACCGUGCUAAGGUAGCGCAAUCAAUUGGCUCUUAAUUGGGGUCAGGAAUGAAUGGAGUUUACGUGGUCCAGCUGUCUAUUAGUUAAUAUAUCGAAAUUACUAUAUAAGUGAAAAAGCUUAUUUACUGAGAAAGGACGAGAAGACCCUUAGAGUUUCACUUAAUAUAAAAUAAUUUUUUAUUUUUAUAAUGGUUUAGUUGGGGCAACAUAGGAGCAAUAAUAAAUAAUCUCUUGAAUUAAAUUUAUCGAAUUAUUAAAUUUAAAUAAACUACCUUAGGGAUAACAGCAUAAUUUAAAAAAUAAGUUUGUGACCUCGAUGUUGGAUUAGGAAUCUUAAAGGUUAGCCAUUUUUAAGAAAAGUUCUGUUCGAACUAAUAUUCCU
This 447-nucleotide ribosomal RNA is filed under the name Chromodoris cf. roboi RFJ-2012. RNAcentral's name for it is "partial 16S ribosomal RNA". It matches the Rfam family "Archaeal large subunit ribosomal RNA", at positions 1908 to 2665 of the family's 2987-position model. The record is from RNAcentral. Lineage: Eukaryota; Metazoa; Mollusca; Gastropoda; Nudibranchia; Chromodorididae.